Tephrocybe rancida is the source of this 94-nucleotide non-coding RNA. The record is from the annotation of a GenBank genome assembly. NCBI's taxonomy places the organism in Eukaryota, Fungi, Basidiomycota, Agaricomycetes, Agaricales, Lyophyllaceae.
GGGGGCAUAGCUCAGCUGGGAGAGCAGCAGACUGAAGUUGCAUCCCAAAAGAAUCGAGUUCUGAAGGUCCCGCGUUCGAUCCGCGGUGCCCCCA